This 328-nucleotide long non-coding RNA is filed under the name Mytilus galloprovincialis (Mediterranean mussel). The record is from RNAcentral. Lineage: Eukaryota; Metazoa; Mollusca; Bivalvia; Mytilida; Mytilidae.
AAAAAGGCCCAAAUAAGCAUUUUCUUGGUUUUCGCACUAUAACUUUAGUUUAAGUUAAUAGAAAUCUAUGAAAUUUUGACACAAGGUUUUUGACCCCAAAAGAACGGUUGGGAUUGAUUUUGGGAGUUUUGGUUUCAACAGUUUAGGAAUUAGGGGCCAAAAAGGGCCCAAAUAAGCAUUAUUCUUGGUUUUCGCACAAUAACUUUAGUUUAAGUAAAUAGAAAUCAAUGAAAUUUAAACACAAUGUUAAUGACUACAAAAGGAAGGUUGGUAUUGAUUUUGGGAGUUUAGGUCCCAACAGUUUAGGAAUUAGGGGCCAAAAAGGGAC